ACACCUCAACUCUUCAUGGUUUUCCAUGAUGAGCUUGGACUUUGGGGGUUUUGCUGGCCUACAGUCAGCUCCUCUAAAAUAAAUCAGCUCGCCAGUGUUUGGUGGGUAUCGCAGGUGUGAUAACUAUCUACGCUUGUGGUUUUUCCACCAGGUAACCUUCAGCAGUGGAGGUUCACUGGAGCUCACAGAUGUCUCUCCUUGGUGAGGACAGCCCUUUGAAU
Molecule: unclassified non-coding RNA, 221 nt
Filed under: uncultured Thelephoraceae
Lineage: Eukaryota; Fungi; Basidiomycota; Agaricomycetes; Thelephorales; Thelephoraceae
Description: sequence contains ITS2
Source: RNAcentral